Molecule: long non-coding RNA, 5786 nt
Organism: Psammomys obesus (fat sand rat)
Lineage: Eukaryota; Metazoa; Chordata; Mammalia; Rodentia; Muridae
Exons: 2
Source: RefSeq, a predicted model, not a curated record
GGGCCAGGCCGCGCACGGAGAUGCGCACCGGCUGGUCGCAGAGGCAACCAUCCGCGGGCUCCAGGAUCACCGUAAUGGUGCCUGUGGAGCUGACGAUUGCGGUGGUUGUCUGAAGUAAGGUUUCACCUGGCUCAGGUUGACCUUGAGCUUGCUCUGCUAAGGAUGACCUCCUGGCCUCCUGCCUCCGCCUCCCAAAGGCUGGGAUCGCAGGCCUGGACCACCACUCUGCACUCUUCCCGAUGUCUUUAAAUGAAACGUUUUCCUGGGAUGACUCGGCGGGCUAACACGUUUCAACUGUGCUAAUAUCAAGCAGGGAACUGGUGUUUUUCCAACUCAGCCAAGAGAAAGGUCAGGCAGACCGGGUUAUUUAAAAGGAUUUCGUAAACGGACCUUGUUACAAAAGCAUAGGUAGCUGUCCUGUGAAAACAGAGACCAAGGUUAAAAGGUAGGUCAGAGUUAACGCUGUGAAGCUGGGAAUGGAGACUUAAAAAGGCUUGCAGCUGGGCAUGAGAGCUAGCCUGGCUUCCCUGAGGCGCCUUCCCCGAGGAACUCAGGCAAGGCAUUGUUCCCCAAUAGUGUAUUAUUGCUCCUAAUGCAGCUAAUGGAAGCUGACUAAAGUUUAAGGGUGGCUUCCAAAAAUAAAAUGUUAAAAAAUGACCUAUUUCACACCGCCCCUACUAUGAGCUAAAUAUGAAGUAACCAAGGAAAACCACAGCUAUGUCUUAGUAGCCGUGAUAACUCUUAACUCUCCAUAGACAGUAAAGGAAAAAGGCCAGUAUAAAGGUGCCAGCUGACCACGUAUCCUAGAAACAAAGAAAGCAUAGGUUAAGUGGCUAGCAGACCCCACCAGGGUUUAGAACCAGCAAGACCCUGCAAAGUCGGAGCCAAGCAACACUGGGCAGGACUGGAACUACCAGCGGACAGACAGGGUCAAGAGCUAAGAAUGUAGAAGUCAGAGAUGGACAGACAAGGGCUCCAAUCAUCCCUAACUUGGCAAGCAGUGCCCCAAACAGCCUGUCAGCUCCCUUACUGGACCAGGGGAAUGUGCAUUGAACGCGUGCCUUACGGCUGCUCAACUUCCCAUGCUUAGAGAAUUAACCAAUAGGGAUUUCCCCAGUGUUGGUCGGCUUUCUGCCCCAGUCCCAUAAAAAGUCCCUAGAUAAGCUCAAAACAAAACAAACAAACAAACAAAAAAAACCACAACCCUUUUUUUCUUCUCUUGGGGGCCUCUCCAGAACUCUGCUUUCUGCAGUAUUUCAUCUUCAUUCUUUAAGCUUUCUGCCUACAGUAAUUUAAAAAAAGGCAGCUGGGAAGCAAAGGAUCAGAGGCAUCCCAAACAGCCCUCAAGGGUGUGCGCCCUGUGGCCUCACUUCUUCCGUUAGGCCCCACCUCCUAAAAGUUGUACCACUUCUAAUAUCGACACAGACUGGAAACUAAGUCUUCAGCACGUGGCCUUUGGAGGACCGUUUGAGAGCCGGCCAUAAAAGGAGGGUUGCCUUGCCUACAGGUGACCAGUUGAAAUGGAAGACACAGUUUUCAAAGUGACUGCUGCCGCUGUGUGCAAAAUCUUGUCAUCCUGGUGACAAAUUGGCGUCCACCUCUCUUGACUCACUUCUCAAAACACUUAUCUUCAAGUCACCUAGUUGUGGGCUUGCCAAGACCUUUCCCUUAAUUGCAGCUGAUAAUCAAGUUGAGAGAGUGAAUGUUUCCUGGACCACGGAUUACUUUUAUAAUGUUUGUGGGGUGGCCAAUGAACAUUGCCACAGAGCCGGGGCAUGAAACUCUUCUAUCAACAGGAGGAGACAGGGACUUGUCCAAAGGCAUCAUUUGCUGACUCCACUAUUCACUACCAACAGCACCCUUUCCCUUAGGCAUCUCUUCCUCUGACUGUGUACAAGAGGAGUAUUUAAGUAUUUGGAAAAUAAUGAAUAUUUGUUUGUGUUUGUUUCUGUUUUUGAGACAAGGUGUCAACCGUGUGUCCUUGAUGGCCUAGAACUCACUACAUAGACCAUGCUGGCCUCAAACUCCCUGAUUAUUAUUAUUACUGUAUUUACUAAAAUGAGAUCAUCUGCAGGGGUUUUCUCCAACUUCUCAUAAUUAAGGUCAAGAACUUAUCCAUAUUCAUGAAACACAAGAACAGAACACCUAACUCUAGUCAGAUGGAAGGACUGGGGAGUGCCUCAGCAGCACAGGAUUUGCAGAGCAAGAACAGGCUGUGUGUUUUGUCUCCAGCACCAGAAAUAAGUAAAACAGAGCACAUGUCUUUAAAAAAAUCAUAGAAUCCUGGCAGAACCGCCGCUCCCAAGGUCAGACUAGGAUGCUUUAUUAAAAUAGGAUAAUUGAAUAUUUCUUGUGGCUUUUGAGUUUUUACCAUCUUCCUUAAAAGUUGAAAUGUGGAACAACCCAAGGUAAAAUCUAAGGAGCAUAUUCCCACCCUCACCACUGUGCCUGGUGAAUACACCGGGGUUUGUCGGUAGGUGAACUCCUCAGUAGCUGCCCUGUCUCUUGCCAGGAUCCGCACCUUGAAAUAAUUAACGUGCCUCCUCCUCCUGCUGUCGAUUUAAUUGUCUCUGUGAAGUCAGAAAUUUUCUUCCAUUUUCUUUUCUUUCUUCCUUCCUUCCUUCCUUCCUUCCUUCCCCCAUCCUUUUUGUAGCCUUGGCUGUCCUGGACUCUCUUUGUAGACCAGGCUAGCCUCAAAAUUACAGAGAUCUGCCUGCCUCUGUCUCCCUGAGUGCUGGGAUUACAGGCGUCUGGCACCUUGCCCUGCUAUACACCAAUUCUUUAUGAGUUUAGUUUUAUCAGAUUCAGCUUAAUUAUUCACAGAGGUGCAGCCAGAGAAUCUGUUUACCAGAUAGUAGUCUUAGCUUUAGAAACUUUUUCAGGUAGCCAAGCCAAGGCAAGUUUUAUUUUGUGGGGUUUUGUUGGUGAUGUUUGUUUAUUUUGAGACAGGGCUCUCAAUCUGUAGCCCCAGUCUCUUUGGAAUAUUUCCGCUUCAGCAUCCCAAGUUCCGAGGUUACACAGAGGUAGACAGAGUUUUCACUGAGCAUCUGUGAUAUCUUGAGAAUACAGAGCCUCGUUGAAGGUGUCGAGUUUUUCUUACUGUCAGUCUGGAAACCGUGGUAGGCAAACAUUAUACAGAUUUUUGAAAUAUGCUAAUGUUUGUUUUUAAUUGUGUUAUACAGAGAGAAUAUUCUUUUGAACUUACCCAAACAAAUGUAUUGCAUUAAUAAAAAUAAAAGUAUGAAUAGACUUUGAAGAAAUGAGGAAGGCAGAAAAAAUAAGGGUUUCCACCUUUGUUUAUAAAUGAUAUUUUAUGAAAGUGAUGCGAGCUUUGGGGGGCUUACACAGAUGUUUCUUUAAGCCUCCACAGCAAAGACCUAUAAGAAAAGAGCCAGAAACACUUUACGUAGGAGACAUCAAACUGGAACAUGCUUGUAAAAUCCUUCCACUUCAGAGGUUCAGGCAGGAGAAUUACCAUGAGUUAGGGAGUGAUAUCUCAUUUUAUUAAGGAAGACACAGGGGCUAAAGAGAUGCUUCAGUGGUUAAGAACACUGGCUGUUUUGCAGAAGACCCAGGUUCUAUUCCCAGCACUCACACGGCAGCUCACAACCAUCUGUAACUCCAGUUCCAGGGGUAUCUGACACCUUCCUCUGACCUCCACGGGCUCCUGUAUGCUUUCGGCACACAGUCAUACACUCAGGCACAUGCACAUACAAUAAAUAUCUUUAGAAAUUUUAAAUGGGUACCACCCCUAAUGUUAUGAGCUUAUUCAUCUUUGCAUGAUUCUUGUUCUGCUUAAUCUUUAGUAGCAGUUUGAUGACUUCAGUUCCUUCUUUAAAGUUCUGGAAAUGUUUAUUUAGUUCCUGAGUUACCCGAAGCAAGGCUGAGUAUGAUAAACGACUUGGUUGAAAUUCUGAUGAGAAUUUAGCAGCUGACAAGGAAGUUUGGUUAUUUUCACUGCAUACAGAAUUUUGAGAACUGUGGCUCAGACUUUACGAGUGCCAGGUAAUCUUCAGAUUCGUGUGGGGAGCGCAUGCGUGGAAACACAUCGUCACGACUGCACGGCUCCACAUAUUCCCAUGCAAUCCCGUAUAACCAGCAGCUGGAUCGCUCCACUAUCUGAAAGAUGAGAGGAUCCUUGAAGGUUCACCAAGGGCCCCAGGGGAAAUGUUCAAGUCCAGAAGUUUUCAUUUAGAACUUUGAUCCUGGGAAAGUCUGCCAACGAUGACCUGUUUAAAACAUUUGACACAGCAUUGCGAAAUAAUAGUCAUCUGGCGAAUCAACCUCCGCUAGAGAUCAGGUGUAUAGUUACAAAGUUACUGAAAGGCUUGAAAAAAAAAAAAAACAAACAAAAAACAGUCCUUAACUAUUUUAGGGUCUCUUUAAUUAAGUAUGAAACACUCAAUAGAAGAGCAGAAAAAUAAAAAUGAGAACGAAAACAAAACCUUCCAGCCACGGCACUGGUUCUGUUUGAGGGAGCCAGUUCAGACACCUCUAAGCCAAACCUGCUGAAAGGGGGCUUGAAUAUGAAUCUGUGUGCAAAUGAUGAGUUUGUACUCAUCAUGUAUGAUGAUAUGGAAGAAGAGAAACAAGAAAGCCAGCACCUUGAACACAGGACUCUUGGAAAUGGUGCAGGUGUGUGGAAUUGUGUGGUUUUCCUCUAAUUCAAAGCAGGAAGAAAAGCCAUGAGUAAAGAUUCAAGUUAUCUACAUUGUCAAAACAAACAUUUUUGGUGUCUGUUACAACAGUAAAGUAAAAAUCAGAGUAAAAGAAGAAGGGGGGGAGCUCAAAGGGGCUUAUAAGAAAGAGAGACAGACAGACAGAGGGAGAUGAAUUAGUGGGUACUGUGAAGCUGGGAAGUUGCUCAGAACAUAACCAAAACAAAACAGAACUCAUAACUGACCACAAAACCUUUGCAGUUUUUUCCCUAGGGGGGAAACAAACUUGUUGAGAAAACCUGGCUCCAAUGGUGUGAUGACACACCUUUAAUCCCUGCACUCAGGAGGCAGAGGUAAAAUGCUCUUAUAUCUGGAGGCCAGUCUUGUUUAUACAGUAAGUCCCAGGCCAGCCCAGGCUACAGCCUAAGAAGAGGAGGAAGAGGGGAGAAGGCCAGGCAGGAAGACUAUCAGGCUCCAGCCAGUCUUGUUCUGAGUUCUGGUCUACCACAAAGUGAGAAGUUGUUUUUGUUGUUUUCUGAGACAGUGUUUCUCUGCGUCGUAGCCCUGGCUGUCCUGAAACUCUCUGUGGACCAGGAUAACCUCAAACUCGGAGAUCCUCCUGCCUCUACCUCCCAAUUGCAGGGACUAAAGGCAUGUGCCACCAUGCUUUUUGAAGUGAGAAGUUUUUCUCCAAAGCUGCUGCUCCCGUGAAUGCCAUGCCUUCCCCUCCAUGCUGGGUUGAAACUGGUAAAACCCCGAGUCAAAUUGUUCUCUCAGGUGUUUUGUCACAAUGAAGCAAAAACAGCUAACAUAGACAUAUAACACAGAUAAACGUAAUCCUCUCUGGUCACAGAGAGCUGUGAGAUGGCUCCACUGAUUGAGUUGCUGCCACCAAGCCUGAUGACCUGAAUUCAAUCCCCGGAGCCUGCAUGGUCGAAAGAGCUGACUACCCACAUUGUCCUCUGACCUACACACACACACACACACACACACACACACACAAAUGUAACAAAACUGCACUUGUAAAAAAUGUAUGCUAAUGGUAAUGAGAACAUCAUUUUUGCUAAAGCUUGUUCAACAAAGGUUUAUGUAAGGCAUGUGAAAUAGAAAUGAUUUGGGUUAAUUGCA